Molecule: ribosomal RNA, 460 nt
Filed under: uncultured bacterium
Lineage: Bacteria
Description: partial 16S ribosomal RNA
Rfam family: Bacterial small subunit ribosomal RNA
Source: RNAcentral
CCUACGGGUGGCAGCAGUGAGGAAUAUUGGUCAAUGGGCGCGAGCCUGAACCAGCCAAGUCGCGUGAGGGAAGACGGCCCUACGGGUUGUAAACCUCUUUUGCCGGGGGGCAACGGGCGCCACGUGUGGCGCCACUGAGAGUACCCGGAGAAAAAGCAUGGGCUAACUCCGUGCCCGCAGCCGCGGUAAUACGGGGGAUGCAAGCGUUAUCCGGAUUUAUUGGGUUUAAAGGGUGCGUAGGAGGAGCGUUAAGUCAGUGGUAAAAUUGAGGGGCUCAACCCCUUCCCGUCAGUGAAACUGGCGCGCGUGAGUGGAAGAGAAGUAUGUGGAAUGCGUGGUGUAGCGGUGAAAUGCAUAGAUAUCACGCAGAACCCCGAUUGCGAAGGCAGCAUGCCGGCUUCCUACUGACGCUGAAGCACGAAAGCGUGGGGAUCGAACAGGAUUAGAUACCCGAGUAGUC